Molecule: transfer RNA, 109 nt
Organism: Phanerochaete carnosa HHB-10118-sp
Lineage: Eukaryota; Fungi; Basidiomycota; Agaricomycetes; Polyporales; Phanerochaetaceae
Rfam family: tRNA
About the family: Transfer RNA (tRNA) molecules are approximately 80 nucleotides in length. Their secondary structure includes four short double-helical elements and three loops (D, anti-codon, and T loops).
Source: Rfam
GACAAGAUGGCCGAGUGGUCUAAGGCGUGUGACUCAAGCGGAAAGCUUGCCAGCGGAGGCUGGUCUUCUCAUAGCGAAAGCUGCGUGGGUUCGAAUCCCACUCUUGUCA